This 66-nucleotide transfer RNA is filed under the name Bradysia impatiens. RNAcentral's name for it is "tRNA-Trp". Lineage: Eukaryota; Metazoa; Arthropoda; Insecta; Diptera; Sciaridae. The record is from RNAcentral.
UAAAUUUUAAGUUAAAUAAACUAGUAACCUUCAAAGCUAUUUAUAAGAAAAAUUUCUUAAAUUUAA